RNAcentral lists this ribosomal RNA (68 nucleotides) under basidiomycete sp. LC1. Its description in RNAcentral is "partial large subunit ribosomal RNA". The stretch from base 8 to 68 matches the Rfam family "Eukaryotic large subunit ribosomal RNA", at positions 1 to 61 of the family's 3401-position model. Lineage: Eukaryota; Fungi; Basidiomycota. The record is from RNAcentral.
UGACCUCUGACCUCAAAUCAGGUAGGACUACCCGCUGAACUUAAGCAUAUCAAUAAGCGGAGGAAAAG